GAUGAACGCUAGCGGGAGGCCUAACACAUGCAAGCCGAGCGGUAGAAUCUUUUCGGAGAUUUGAGAGCGGCGUACGGGUGAGGAACACGUGUGCAACCUGCCUUUAUCUGGGAGAUAGCCUUUCGAAAGGAAGAUUAAUAUCCCAUAAUAUAUUGAGUGGCAUCACUUAAUAUUGAAAGCUCAGGCGGAUAGAGAUGGGCACGCGCAAGAUUAGAUAGUUGGUGAGGUAACGGCUCACCAAGUCUACGAUCUUUAGGGGGCCUGAGAGGGUGAUCCCCCACACUGGUACUGAGACACGGACCAGACUCCUACGGGAGGCAGCAGUGAGGAAUAUUGGACAAUGGGUGCAAGCCUGAUCCAGCCAUCCCGCGUGAAGGAUUAAGGUCCUAUGGAUUGUAAACUUCUUUUAUACAGGGAUAAACCUCUCCUCGUGAGGAGAGCUGAAGGUACUGUAUGAAUAAGCACCGGCUAACUCCGUGCCAGCCGCCGCCGUAA
This 495-nucleotide ribosomal RNA is filed under the name uncultured bacterium. Its description in RNAcentral is "partial 16S ribosomal RNA". It matches the Rfam family "Bacterial small subunit ribosomal RNA", at positions 28 to 523 of the family's 1533-position model. The record is from RNAcentral.